Molecule: transfer RNA, 85 nt
Organism: Felis catus (domestic cat)
Lineage: Eukaryota; Metazoa; Chordata; Mammalia; Carnivora; Felidae
Rfam family: tRNA
About the family: Transfer RNA (tRNA) molecules are approximately 80 nucleotides in length. Their secondary structure includes four short double-helical elements and three loops (D, anti-codon, and T loops).
Source: Rfam
ACCUGGGUGGCUCAGUCGGUUGAGCCUCUGACUUCAGCUCAGGUCAUGAUCUCACAGUUCGUGGGUUCGAGCCCCGCGUCAGGCU